CUGACGUCACGGACGGGCGGCGCCGCGGGAUGUUCCGUGCGUGGGGCGGUGGCGGGCGCGGCGCGGGGAGGCGGCGGGCUGCGCGCGCUAGGCCGCGAGGUUUCCGGGACAGGCGCUGGAAGGGGCGACUGGCCAGAAAAUGAGCUGGUUCAGGGCAAGAGGGUUUUUCCAUCUGGCUUUCCUGGGCGAGGAGGGGAAAACAGUUCUAGAAUAACUGCUCCGUGUUCAGGGGGAGAACAGCGGUGACGUGGGUGCCCCGUUGUCUUCAUCCACCGUGACAUCAGCAAGGAGCAGAGAGGAAGUGGCCCCGGACCCGCGGCCGGCAGCUAGACAAAUGCACUGCUGGGACUGCCAUGCCCAGCACGGGCCGCUCCCCUGGGGCUCUGCGCGUAGAGCCGACUCCUUGCUUGUACCUGCCUGCCUUCCGGCCUGCACCGGGCAAGAAACGUGGGGAGGGGAUCCACAGGCCAAGGCGCCGCACAGUGAUGCCCUGCUCCAUCCCAUGACAGGGCCUGGAAGGGGACUGGCAGCUGCAGAAAUGGUUUCCGGCCUUCCCACAUCCCCCACGCACUUCCCGGUGGGGGCAUUUUUAAAGUCGAAGGAGACACAUUCAUUCAAAUAUGUAUUAAGUGCCUGCCAGUGGCUCUGAGAAUAGAACAGUGAGCUAGACUCUUGGCAUCGUUUCCUAGGGAGUCCUCGGUCCUAGGGGGAGGAGAGAGCCCUGUGUAAUGAUUUCAGAUGAUGUUAUAAGGUAGGGUGUGGGGCGGGCGCGGUUGCUCACGCCUGUAAUCCCAGCACUUUGUGAGGCUGACGGAGGAGGAGGCUUCGUUGAGCCCAGGAGUUCAAGACCAGCCUGAGUAGCAGAGACCCUGUCUCUACAAAAAAUAAAAGUAGCGGGACGUGGUGACGCAUGCCUGUGGCCCCAGCUACUUGGGAUCCUGAGGCAGGAGGAUUGCUUCAACCAGGAGGUCGAGGCUGCAGUGGGCUGUGAUUGCACCACUGCACUCUAGCCUGCCUGACAGAGCAAGACUGUCUUAAUAAGGCCAAGGCCGGGGGCGGUGGCUCACGCCUGUAAUCCCAGCACUUUGAGAGGCCGAGAUGGGUGGAUCCCCUGAGGUCAGGAAUUGGAGACAGCCUGACCAACAUGGCGAAACCUCGUCUCUACUAAAAAUACAAAAAUUAGGCGGGCGUGAUGGUGAGCACCUG
RNAcentral lists this long non-coding RNA (1206 nucleotides) under Homo sapiens (human). RNAcentral describes it as "HSALNT0254357". The record is from RNAcentral. Lineage: Eukaryota; Metazoa; Chordata; Mammalia; Primates; Hominidae.